This is a long non-coding RNA of Daphnia pulex (common water flea), 1915 nucleotides long. RefSeq lists it as uncharacterized. The record is from RefSeq and is a predicted model, not a curated record. Lineage: Eukaryota; Metazoa; Arthropoda; Branchiopoda; Diplostraca; Daphniidae. The transcript is spliced from 2 exons.
CACGUACAUGCACAGUUUGUAUGCACGUCGGGAUCAGGUGUCGUACAUGUAAAUCGACAUCUUCGACGACCAAAUCGUUUGGCUUUUACGACUCAACUUUUCAUCCCCCUGUAUCUUUAGAUUUCAAAAAAAAAAAAAAAAAAAGGAGCAAGUGCCAGUUCCUGCACUUUUACCUUUUUUGACUUCCUCUUUUUGCGUAGUAGGAUACCAAUCUAAUUCAAAGUGUGUCGCCUUAACCGUGUCGGCUUUCAAGAUUCAGGAGCUCGAAAGGCAAACGGGUUGGUCGGGUUGCUGUACCACGACAUCAGGGCCGUCAUACUGCGCACCACUAACACGUGUACACCUAUGAAACCUAUUCGUUAUUGUCUUUUUUGUCAAGUGAGAAUGUAACAGGACUAAGAAUCGAGAUAUACCUACAGGAAAUACAGAAAAUUGCGUAGCGUAGUUUGAUAUUGAAUCCAAUGUCUUCGUGACUCGGUGAGUUUGGGAAAGUGAACCUGCACACUUUAUUGAGAUAGUUAGACCUGUGAGUUAUAUAUCCAAAUGCAUCUGAAGAAUGACAAAUACGUAGCAGAAAGCAAUACCGUUUGAAAUGUAACAACCAAAAAAAAGGAAAAAGAGUCGCAGUGAGUUGCAUUUUGCCUCUGUGAAUAUAAGCCCUUGUCUCGACAUCGUUUCUCAUCUGUCUUUCUCAUCUGUUCGCUUCUAUUACUCACGGAGAACUUUGUCACCAGCCUUUGCCUUUACUGAAUUCUGCAGCCAAUUUCCAAAUUUCUCUCGCGAAGAAGCCGAAACUCUUGGAUAUCAAAGUCGAGUAACGAUUUCGUCAACUGGCGGGAGUCUUGGCGGCGACGUUCUUGUCAAAAUGAAGUGCGUCGCAUACUUGACUGAUUCCCGAGAAAAUCAGCCACUGUGCAGCAACCCCCCCAUCCCCUCUUUUCUCGCAGCCAACCAACGAAACAAGUACGUAGUACGAAAGUCUUUGGGAUUAUAUCUAGGCUGGAAUUCAAAAUAGUUCGGUCGCCCCUUCACUGUGACUGCCUUUAAUUGACAUCACAAAACUACUUGACGAUGACUCGCUAUGCUACGCGAAUUGAAGUGCGUUAUACAUUCCCGCAGACACUCUUCUAAAAUAAAGAAAAGACUAGUCGGUACGGACUCUAUGACCGAAAAAAAUGAAUAAAGAAUAUGCACAAGAACCACCCAAACAAAAGUUGCCUGUAAACUGAAGAAUUAUUUAAAGGAUUUCUCAAAGUUUUUCAAGUUCUUUUCGUACAAGUUUCAUUGUCUUGAAGGUGGUCUCCGUUAGCAGCAGCAGCAGUAGCAGCUGGUUGAAACGGUACGGCAUAUUUUUAAGACGCGUCAAAAGAAAUAAAUGAAUGAAGAAAAAUGAGUCGUUCAAGUGGAUCCUAUUCAGCAGCGUCAAAUUGGGGACACAAAAAAGAAGCGUGUGUACUAAAAACUCCGAAUGCCAGACACAUGCCAAGGAGCCUCGAGCCGACACGGAACAAGAAGAAUCCUUUAUGUAUAGUCAUGUACACACUGGGUGGUCGUCCGAAGCUCUCAUCCGUGCAUAUCCCUAAUGAACAAAUGAGAGAUAACUGCUGGCGAGGAAAGAGGGGGGAAAAAAACGUAAUAGCCAUGGCGAUAUUCUCUUAUUAUACAAUCUCGGCUUCUCCUAGAGGCUACAGCGUCGAUUCCGCGGUUGGUCAGAGCGUCAUUGCCCGCCUCUCAAACGACCUAUUCUUUCCCGUUUUUUGUUUGUUCACGACAAGAGUAUAAUACCCGUCCAAUUGAUUUUCCUUUUUCUCAAAAUUGUAAUCUGGUAUACUUUCAUAACCCGGCACUUUGGAAGAAAAAAACGAAAACUGUACCUUGGCAUUUACGUAUUCAAAAUAAAACGUCUUCUCCCAAG